AUACGGAGGAUGCGAGCGUUAUCCGGAUUUAUUGGGUUUAAAGGGAGCGUAGGUGGGAUAUUAAGUCAGCUGUGAAAGUUUGGGGCUCAACCUUAAAAUUGCAGUUGAUACUGGUUUCCUUGAGUACGGUACAGGUGGGCGGAAUUCGUGGUGUAGCGGUGAAAUGCUUAGAUAUCACGAAGAACUCCGAUCGCGAAGGCAGCUCACCGGGCCGGAACUGACACUGAUGCUCGAAAGUGCGGGUAUCAAACAGGAUUAGAUACCCUGGUAGUCCGCACAGUAAACGAUGAGUACUCGCUGUUUGCGAUACACUGUAAGCGGCCAAGCGAAAGCGUUAAGUAUUCCACCUGGGGAGUACGCCGGCAACGGUGAAACUCAAAGGAAUUGACGGGG
This 393-nucleotide ribosomal RNA is filed under the name uncultured bacterium. Its description in RNAcentral is "partial 16S ribosomal RNA". It matches the Rfam family "Bacterial small subunit ribosomal RNA", at positions 523 to 918 of the family's 1533-position model. The record is from RNAcentral.